Molecule: non-coding RNA, 73 nt
Organism: Podarcis lilfordi (Lilford's wall lizard)
Lineage: Eukaryota; Metazoa; Chordata; Lepidosauria; Squamata; Lacertidae
Source: the annotation of a GenBank genome assembly
UAUAUCUAUAUAUGUGUGUGUGUGUUUGUGUGUAAUAGACACACACACACACAUAUAUAUAUAUAUAUAUAUA